Molecule: ribosomal RNA, 391 nt
Filed under: uncultured bacterium
Lineage: Bacteria
Description: bacterial SSU rRNA
Rfam family: Bacterial small subunit ribosomal RNA
Source: RNAcentral
UUAGUUGCCAGCAUUUAGUUGGGCACUCUAAGGGGACUGCCGGUGAUAAGCCGAGAGGAAGGUGGGGAUGACGUCAAGUCCUCAUGGCCCUUACGGGCUGGGCUACACACGUGCUACAAUGGUGGUGACAGUGGGCAGCGAGACAGCGAUGUCGAGCUAAUCUCCAAAAGCCAUCUCAGUUCGGAUUGCACUCUGCAACUCGAGUGCAUGAAGUUGGAAUCGCUAGUAAUCGCAGAUCAGCAUGCUGCGGUGAAUACGUUCCCGGGCCUUGUACACACCGCCCGUCACACCAUGGGAGUUGGUUUUACCCGAAGGUAGUGCGCUAACCGCAAGGAGGCAGCUAACCACGGUAGGGUCAGCGACUGGGGUGAAGUCGUAACAAGGUAGCCGU